AUUGAACGCUGGCGGCAGGCCUAACACAUGCAAGUCGAACGGUAGCACAGAGAGCUUGCUCUCGGGUGACGAGUGGCGGACGGGUGAGUAACGUCUGGGAAACUGCCCGAUGGAGGGGGAUAACUACUGGAAACGGUAGCUAAUACCGCAUAACGUCGCAAGACCAAAGUGGGGGACCCUCGGGCCUCACACCAUCGGAUGUGCCCAGAUGGGAUUAGCUAGUAGGUGGGGUAAUGGCUCACCUAGGCGACGAUCCCUAGCUGGUCUGAGAGGAGAACCAGCCACACUGGAACUGAGACACGGCCCAGACUCCUACGGGAGGCAGCAGUGGGGAAUAUUGCACAAUGGGCGCAAGCCUGAUGCAGCCAUGCCGCGUGUAUGAAGAAGGCCUUCGGGUUGUAAAGUACUUUCAGCGGGGAGGAAGGCGGUGAAGUUAAUAACUUCACCGAUUGACGUUACCCGCAGAAGAAGCACCGGCUAACUCCGUGCCAGCAGCCGCCGUAA
RNAcentral lists this ribosomal RNA (504 nucleotides) under uncultured bacterium. RNAcentral's name for it is "partial 16S ribosomal RNA". It matches the Rfam family "Bacterial small subunit ribosomal RNA", at positions 29 to 523 of the family's 1533-position model. The record is from RNAcentral.